This 468-nucleotide ribosomal RNA is filed under the name uncultured bacterium. RNAcentral's name for it is "partial 16S ribosomal RNA". It matches the Rfam family "Bacterial small subunit ribosomal RNA", at positions 28 to 507 of the family's 1533-position model. The record is from RNAcentral.
GACGAACGCUGGCGGCGUGCUUAACACAUGCAAGUCCAACGGAAAGGCCCUGCUUUUGUGGGGUGCUCGAGUGGCGAACGGGUGAGUAACACGUGAGUAACCUGCCCUUGACUUUGGGAUAACUUCAGGAAGCUGGGGCUAAUACCGGAUAGGAGCUCCUGCUGCAUGGUGGGGGUUGGAAAGUUUCGGCGGUUGGGGAUGGACUCGCGGCUUAUCAGCUUGUUGGUGGGGUAGUGGCUUACCAAGGCUUUGACGGGUAGCCGGCCUGAGAGGGUGACCGGCCACAUUGGGACUGAGAUACGGCCCAGACUCCUACGGGAGGCAGCAGUGGGGAAUAUUGCACAAUGGGCGGAAGCCUGAUGCAGCAACGCCGCGUGCGGGAUGACGGCCUUCGGGUUGUAAACCGCUUUCGCCUGUGACGAAGCGUGAGUGACGGUAAUGGGUAAAGAAGCACCGGCUAACUACGUG